CCUUUGCCAUACUCUGUUGAACAUUUUGUAUCUUUGAUAAGACGAUCAGCGUUGGCAUAUAAUCCUUUCUUAGCCAGAACAAAGCUUUUCAAGUGCCAAGUUUUCAUCACCACCAAAAGCAUCCAGCGUACUCCUGACCAAUGCUUCAGGGAAGCCCAUCUCAACAAGUUUCUGCACCUUUUCCUCUACCCCAAGAGAUGAGGUCUUGGCAAAAGUUUCUGUCCAGUAGCGGGCUGUGCCAGAAAAAGUCUGAUAGUCUUUAAGGUACUGUUGUGCUACUACAGCAUCUUGAGGGUCAUCAGGUUGAGGAGCAGAGAGUAAUGCUUGGACAGAAAGUAGUGCCGUCUUUAGAGUGAGUGCUGGGCUCCAUUGAUCUUUCAAGAUGUCCAGGCAAAUUGCCCCACUCUGGCUGCUAAUAUUGGGGUGCCAGACUUUUGUUGCGAACUGCAUUUUGGGAGGCUCGAAAGGAUAUCCAUC
Molecule: unclassified non-coding RNA, 477 nt
Filed under: Hevea brasiliensis (rubber tree)
Lineage: Eukaryota; Viridiplantae; Streptophyta; Magnoliopsida; Malpighiales; Euphorbiaceae
Source: RNAcentral